UCCGUCUUUCAUAGCAUUAAAGGCGGUAGUUGAAAACCAGCCGAGCCCCACUAAGACCACACCGAGGUCCGACAGUGGUGGCGGAGGAGGGGGUUUGUGCAAUAUUUAUGUGCAGUGGCCACCAGGACGGUUUCCGCGGUGGAGGUGUAAAGGCAAGAAGGAGGAGACACACAGAAGAAGGUGACUUACAUCGAAGGAGCACGGUUGAAUGUGCCCAAAAUGCCCAAUACAAGCGAAAACUCACAUUCCGGCUCGACGACGACGACGGCGGCGGCGACGACGGCGACGGCGGCAAGCGCCGGUGAUGACCUGGGGAGCACGGACGAGGUGAAGGUGUUCAAAGAUGAAGGCGACCGGGAGGAUGAGAAAGCCUCGUCCGAGAAUCUGUUGGAGGAAAAGUUCAACCUGAUCGAUCUAACCGAAAGCGCGGAAAACCUGGUGAAGAACUCGGCCGCCCGGCAAGACCUCAGCCCACCCUACGUCGGUCCAGGUACAUCCUCGCGCUCAGUGUCGUCGCCCGUGGGUGGGAGUGGUGGAAGCGUCAGCGGAGGUCCAGGGAGCGGGCCUGCCGGGAGUAGCUCUGGCAAGCUGUCCGAUCAUUCCCCUGACCACUCGCCGGGAGGCUUCGCGCCGAUGGGAGGCUAUCUACCGCCUUAUCAGUACUCCAGCGGUACGGCCAGCGCUCUGCAAGCUGCAGGAUCGAUGGGCAAGGGUCUUGGCGGACUGUCGCAGUUCUUCUGCAACGAGGAUCCCCUCUCAAAUCCUCCACCCGCCCAUUGCGGAAUUCUGCCCUACCAGCUUGACUCGAAGGCGAUCGGGUUGACCGCUCGGCAGUCGCUGUACUCGUUCUCCACCACCCAGUACCCGUACCCAUCAAUCCUAUCCUCCAACAUGCUGCCGGUGCCUCCCUCUUGGCAUACGCCUUCAAUGUAUUCGACGGCUCCGAGUUUCCGUAACUCGUACCCCUCGUCUUUGCAGAUUUAUACCACGCUGGCCAGCGACCUGUACUCGCGCUACCAAUCCUCUCAGUCACUGCUCAACUCGGUGCACUCUCACGCCUCAGUGCUUAACCAGAGCCUUCAGCAACAGGUAAAGCAGGAAGCAACGGGGUGCGGGGCGGUAGCCGGUUCCACCGUCAGUGUUGGCCAGGACAUGUCUCACAAUUACAGCGUCCGCCAGCAUGCACACGGGCUCAGUCCUGGCAGCAAGUCGGUGGCGGACCUGCCCCAAGAACUGACGAACCAUCGCUUCGGACGAGCGCAGAGCGUGGGCAGCACUGGUAGUGGUGGAGGCGGGGGUGGCAGCGGCAGCAUUGGCAACGGAGCGAGCAGCGGAGGAAGUAAUACCAGCGGUGGGGCAAGUGGAAGCUCCAAGAAGAAGUGUGCAAGCGAGCGAAGUCGAGAUCAGCAGCAGCAGGGCAGUCAUCAGCAGAAUCCACCACAACCGAACAGACCACAUAUCAAAAAGCCGCUGAAUGCGUUCAUGCUGUACAUGAAGGAGAUGCGCGCGAAGGUAGUUGCCGAGUGCACGCUGAAGGAAUCGGCUGCGAUCAACCAGAUUCUCGGGCGGAAGUGGCACUCACUGUCGCGGGAUGAGCAAAGCGUGUACUACGACAAAGCGCGCCAGGAGCGACAGCUGCACAUGGAGAUGUACCCGGGGUGGACGGCACGAGACAACUAUGGCUACGGUUCGAAAAAGAAGCGAAAAGCGAAGAAAAAGGACCAACUGGGUGGUAGCACCGAACCACCAAGCAGGCGCAAGAAAAUAUGUAUACGUAACGAAGAGUCCGACAACUACGACGGGUCGCGCAUGUCGGACGAGUACAUUGGCAGCUAUGGCACGGUGGUGUAAUGAAACGAUGGACGGGAUGCCCCAUGAAGCUGCCACCUUCGCCACAAGCAGACGUCGCUCAAUGAAACUGAGGACCAUUGGGCCAGGGACCAUCGGAAUAUGGACUAACCGAGCGGGGCAGCUGGACUGCACAGGGAACUACGCGAGUUUGCCACACUCUAACGCACGCACGCAACGUGAAACUUUACCUAAAAAGACUUCAAACGACACUAAGUCACUGUAUACACGCGAUAAGAGAAGGCGGAGGAGAGGAGAAGAACGAGCAGACCCAAGAACAUACCAAAGCAAACCGAGGUUGCGGUAGAGGGAGGGCGCUGUAGGCCAAAGAUAACAUUUUAAUAAAACCACUCACAAUAUAAUGGUAAGAAAGCAAUCUUUAGUGCAAUCAGAUUUAUCAUACCCCAGUGUCGUAGGCCCAAUGUCAUGCAGAGGGAGUUGUCCAUAAAAUCAUCCUAUUAAGCGAAGGGUGCCAAAAGUAUCCCACUGAUUUCUGUUCUAAGAAAUUGUCGCAAACAUCUUACGAAUUUACUUUUCGCCACUCGUACUUAAUACGGAGCAGAAAAGGGAAGUGCUGGUUUGAACGAGCGUGUGCGGUGACGACAGAGAGAUAGCCUUAUGCUGCAAUGGCCGACGUAAAUCGAUGUCAGUAGUUACGACAGUACAGGGAGCGCCUAUGGUUGUUGGUACGGGAUGCACACAAAACGCACGGCAUCCACAGGCGCACGCAGCUUUAGGUGGGAUGUUACGAAUCGGUGGUGUUUUACAAGUUAUGAACUCUGUAUACGGAAAAAGGUUACAAUCUUUGUCUGAAUGUCGAUGCUGUAUAAACAUCAAGAGAGAUUGUGCGACGCGCACGGUGAACUCGGCGUGUCAGAGCUAUAUAUACAUACAUAUAAAUAUACAUAGUAGGUAUUUUUAGAAUGUAAGAAACUGCAGCUAACUACAGUAAGGUACCGAUUGACGUUGAUUGUAGCGCACCAGGCUGAGAGGUACAUGGGUCGUUUAUCAUAGACAAAUCUAUACAAUGCUCGGGAGCCGCUGUAUUUUCUUGUACCAGCGACAGAGAAAAAAAUCUUAACCGAAUCCAUAAAGAAU
Molecule: RNA transcript, 2946 nt
Organism: Anopheles coustani
Lineage: Eukaryota; Metazoa; Arthropoda; Insecta; Diptera; Culicidae
Gene name: protein pangolin, isoforms A/H/I/S-like
Exons: 3
Source: RefSeq, a predicted model, not a curated record